UACGUAGGGUGCAAGCGUUGUCCGGAAUUAUUGGGCGUAAAGAGCUCGUAGGCGGUCUGUCGCGUCUGGUGUGAAAAUCCAGGGCUUAACCCUGGACCUGCAUCGGGUACGGGCAGACUAGAGUGCGGUAGGGGAGAUCGGAAUUCCUGGUGUAGCGGUGAAAUGCGCAGAUAUCAGGAGGAACACCGGUGGCGAAGGCGGCAUCCUGGACCGGCAUUGACGCUGAGGCGCGAAAGCCAGGGGAGCAAACGGG
This 253-nucleotide ribosomal RNA is filed under the name uncultured bacterium. RNAcentral's name for it is "partial 16S ribosomal RNA". It matches the Rfam family "Bacterial small subunit ribosomal RNA", at positions 524 to 776 of the family's 1533-position model. The record is from RNAcentral.